RNAcentral lists this ribosomal RNA (591 nucleotides) under uncultured bacterium. RNAcentral's name for it is "bacterial SSU rRNA". It matches the Rfam family "Bacterial small subunit ribosomal RNA", at positions 338 to 946 of the family's 1533-position model. The record is from RNAcentral.
CCUACGGGAGGCAGCAGUGGGGAAUAUUGGACAAUGGGCGCAAGCCUGAUCCAGCAAUGCCGCGUGAGUGAUGAAGGCCUUAGGGUCGUAAAGCUCUUUUACCAGGGAUGAUAAUGACAGUACCUGGAGAAUAAGCUCCGGCUAACUCCGUGCCAGCAGCCGCGGUAAUACGGAGGGAGCUAGCGUUGUUCGGAAUUACUGGGCGUAAAGCGUACGUAGGCGGUUAUUCAAGUCAGAGGUGAAAGCCCGGGGCUCAACCCCGGAACGGCCUUUGAAACUAGGUAGCUAGAAUCUUGGAGAGGUCAGUGGAAUUCCGAGUGUAGAGGUGAAAUUCGUAGAUAUUCGGAAGAACACCAGUGGCGAAGGCGACUGACUGGACAAGUAUUGACGCUGAGGUACGAAAGCGUGGGGAGCAAACAGGAUUAGAUACCCUGGUAGUCCACGCCGUAAACGAUGAUAACUAGCUGUUCGGGCACUUGGUGCUUGAGUGGCGCAGCUAACGCAUUAAGUUAUCCGCCUGGGGAGUACGGUCGCAAGNUUAAAACUCAAAUGAAUUGACGGCUGAGAGUGCGAGACGACGACGAGGAGAGG